CAAUCCACUAUGGACCCCCAAGACCCCCUCACAGAUGCUCACUCUUCAUUCUGUCUCUCUUGGCAGAAAAACAGUUUUCUCCCUCCUCUGUUAUCCAACCAAGAGCUCUGUUAGGGCAGAGAGAUCCUUCCUUCUCCAAGCUAGCUAAGAGCAUUCUACCUCCAACUCACUGUUUGAAUUCUUAGAGCUGUGGUACCCCUUGGUUUCGUACCUAGUUGUGUUUGCUAGCAUCUAAGAAGAUGUGGAAACCCCUGGAGGUACUCAGGGUGAUGGAGAUGUUGCUGUGUAGAGUGGUCCCCAUGGUCUAGGUUGUGGCUCAUAGUUCAGCCCUUUUGAAGAACUCUUAGUUUGUUUUAAAUUCCUUGCUCCUUGAGCAAUCCUUUUGCAAAACAAUAGUACUCUUCUGUUAUGUUUAAGUGCAUCGUGGUGUGCCUAAACUUUCAUCCCAAGUAUAUUAUGGAUAAUUGUAAUAGUUAGUACAUGUGUGCUUGAUGUCAUGUGCUUUUAUAUAUUAUAAUUAUGUGAUGUUUAAUUUUA
Vigna unguiculata (cowpea) is the source of this 537-nucleotide long non-coding RNA. The record is from RefSeq and is a predicted model, not a curated record. Lineage: Eukaryota; Viridiplantae; Streptophyta; Magnoliopsida; Fabales; Fabaceae.